GCAUUACUACCUUAUCAACUGGUGUUAGGUCAUGUUCAGAAACUCUCUGAGCCACUACAGUUUGGUUAUCCAGGAGAUUCACAGACAUCGACAACAACCAUCUGUAGUUUAGGAUCGACUUCUUCCUCUCCUCCUAGGAAUGGCUCUCUCUGUUUGGUGGAAUAGGAAGGGAGCAAGUAGGAAACUGUGAAAAUAAUUCAGGUCUGAUCCUCCACAUCAAGCACCAGGCAACAAGGUCACGAGGAUCCUACUACAGAACUAUUCAUGUCCCUGAUACGCUAAUGGUAACUAUUAGUUCUCCAUGUAACUGUACCAUCUGCUAGCAUCUCCCUGGACCUUGUGACGAUAGAAAUCUCCACCGUCCCCACCAUGAGGGCAUCAAGCAAUCAACUCAGCUUCCCUGAUGAUUCGGAGUCUCAUACUCAUGAUUCAGGGAGAUGGAAGCAUCGACAAUGCUCUAGCAUGUCCUUUACUGAACUGAUGACGUAUCAACGACAUCAAUAUUCAGAGACUUUAAUAUUGCCAGUUCAGAAAGCAUAUCCUUGAGCAAACUGGAGAAAAGAACCUGAGCUUGAGAGGGAAACACCACCAUCUCGAAAGCUGCCGAAGACCACAGGUUUUGGGAACCACAAGUCAAACAAGCGGAGGAAGCUCCAUUAUAACCUUCUCAGACAAGGGAAAUCGAAAUGGGCUGCAAGUUAGGCUAGACCUAGCUCCUAUACUUCAUUAUGUACUAUGUAUCUGAUCUGAUCUGUUCGUUGUUCCCUAGAUUAUUUUUGUAGUACCAUGUAGCCAAGUUGAACCUGUAGUGCUAUAUCUGUUGUUUAACUUAGUGAGAGGCCUAUUUCUGCA
Long non-coding RNA from Lolium perenne, 852 nucleotides. RefSeq lists it as uncharacterized. NCBI's taxonomy places the organism in Eukaryota, Viridiplantae, Streptophyta, Magnoliopsida, Poales, Poaceae. The record is from RefSeq and is a predicted model, not a curated record.